AGAGUUUGAUCCUGGCUCAGGACGAACGCUGGCGGCGUGCCUAAUACAUGCAAGUCGAGCGGACAGAUGGGAGCUUGCUCCCUGAUGUUAGCGGCGGACGGGUGAGUAACACGUGGGUAACCUGCCUGUAAGACUGGGAUAACUCCGGGAAACCGGGGCUAAUACCGGAUGGUUGUCUGAACCGCAUGGUUCAGACAUAAAAGGUGGCUUCGGCUACCACUUACAGAUGGACCCGCGGCGCAUUAGCUAGUUGGUGAGGUAACGGCUCACCAAGGCGACGAUGCGUAGCCGACCUGAGAGGGUGAUCGGCCACACUGGGACUGAGACACGGCCCAGACUCCUACGGGAGGCAGCAGUAGGGAAUCUUCCGCAAUGGACGAAAGUCUGACGGAGCAACGCCGCGUGAGUGAUGAAGGUUUUCGGAUCUUAAAGCUCUGUUGUUAGGGAAGAACAAGUGCCCCCCAAAUAGGGCGGCACCUUGACGGUACCUAACCUGAAAGCCACGGAUAACUACGUGCCAGCAG
This 524-nucleotide ribosomal RNA is filed under the name Bacillus sp. 12-21c. RNAcentral describes it as "bacterial SSU rRNA". It matches the Rfam family "Bacterial small subunit ribosomal RNA", at positions 8 to 514 of the family's 1533-position model. Lineage: Bacteria; Bacillati; Bacillota; Bacilli; Caryophanales; Bacillaceae. The record is from RNAcentral.